This 497-nucleotide ribosomal RNA is filed under the name uncultured bacterium. RNAcentral's name for it is "partial 16S ribosomal RNA". It matches the Rfam family "Bacterial small subunit ribosomal RNA", at positions 28 to 507 of the family's 1533-position model. The record is from RNAcentral.
GAUGAACGCUGGCGGCGUGCCUAAUACAUGCAAGUCGAGCGAACGGACGAGAAGCUUGCUUCUCUGAUGUUAGCGGCGGACGGGUGAGUAACACGUGGCUAACCUACCUAUAAGACUGGGAUAACUUCGGGAAACCGGUGCUAAUACCGGAUCAUAUUUUGAACCGCAUGGUUCAAAAGUGAAAGACGGUCUUGCUGUCACUUAUAGAUGGAUCCGCGCUCCAUUAGCUAGUUGGUAAGGUAACGGCGUACCAAGGCAACGAUGCAUCGCCGGCCUGAGAGGGUGAUCCGCCAUGCUGGAACUUAGACAAGGUCCAAACUCCUACGGGAGGCAGCAGUAGGCAAUCUUCCGCAAUAGGCGAAAGCCUGACGGAGCAACACCGCGUGAGUGAUGAAGGUCUUCGGAUCGUAAAACUCUGUUAUUAGGGAAGAGCAUAUGUGUAAGUAACUGUGCACAUCUUGAGAGUACCUAAUCAGAAAGCCACGGCUAGCUACGUG